UAGUGUGUAAAAAGUACAAUUUAAUGAUCUUUACAGGCAAAGUAAAAGUCCCAAAGCACCACGUUCUCUUGCUGGGAAGGCUGGCAUCGCCCUGCUUACGGAUGGAGGGACACAGUCAGACCUUUGCUGAAGACAAGUCACUUGAGACACAGAACACUCUUGAAGUCAUACUCCUUUACAUAGACCAAAACCAAAGCCAUUGGGUCAUGCUUUCCCAAAGGAAGUUCUAAAUAGC
RNAcentral lists this long non-coding RNA (235 nucleotides) under Fukomys damarensis (Damara mole-rat). RNAcentral describes it as "lncRNA (ENSFDAG00000023235.1)". Lineage: Eukaryota; Metazoa; Chordata; Mammalia; Rodentia; Bathyergidae. The record is from RNAcentral.